CCCUUAGAUGUUCUGGGCCGCACGCGCGCUACACUGAUGCAUUCAACGAGCCUAUCCUUGACCGACAGGUCCGGGUAAUCUUUGAAUCUGCAUCGUGACGGGGAUAGAUUAUUGCAAUUAUUAAUCUUCAACGAGGAAUGCCUAGUAGGCGCAAGUCAUCAGCUUGCGUCGAUUACGUCCCUGCCCUUUGUACACACCGCCCGUCGCUAGUACCGAUUGAAUGGCUUAGUGAGGCUUCAGGAUUUGCUUAGAUCGAGGGGCAACUCUCUUUCAGAGCGGAGAAUCUAGUCAAACUUGGUCAUUUAGAGGAACUAAAAGUCGUAACA
This 326-nucleotide ribosomal RNA is filed under the name uncultured eukaryote. RNAcentral's name for it is "partial 18S ribosomal RNA". It matches the Rfam family "Eukaryotic small subunit ribosomal RNA", at positions 1470 to 1796 of the family's 1831-position model. The record is from RNAcentral.